GUGCAGCAGGCGCGAAAACUCCGCAAUGCGCGCAAGCGUGAACGGGCUACCCCGAGUGCCGUCCGCUGAGGAUGGCUUUUCUCUGCUGUAAGAAGGCAGAGGAAUAAGGAGAGGGCAAGUCUGGUGUCAGCCGCCGCGGUAAUACCAGCUCUCCGAGUGGUAGGGAUGAUUAUUGGGCUUAAAGCGUCCGUAGCUGGCCUUUCAAGUCUCUUGUUAAAUCCAGCGAUUCAAUCGCUGGACUGCUGGAGAUACUGUUAGGCUAGGAGGCGGGAGAGGCCGACGGUAUUUCCGGGGUAGGAGUAAAAUCCUAUGAUCCCGGGAAG
This 323-nucleotide ribosomal RNA is filed under the name uncultured archaeon. Its description in RNAcentral is "partial 16S ribosomal RNA". It matches the Rfam family "Archaeal small subunit ribosomal RNA", at positions 330 to 655 of the family's 1478-position model. The record is from RNAcentral.